RNAcentral lists this transfer RNA (73 nucleotides) under Felis catus (domestic cat). It matches the Rfam family "tRNA". From Rfam's summary of the family: Transfer RNA (tRNA) molecules are approximately 80 nucleotides in length. Lineage: Eukaryota; Metazoa; Chordata; Mammalia; Carnivora; Felidae. The record is from Rfam by way of RNAcentral.
GCCAGGCUGGCUCAGUUGGUAAAGCAUGCGACUCCUGAUCUCAGAAUCGUGAGUUCAAGUCCCAUGUUGGGCG